UACGUAGGUGGCAAGCGUUGUCCGGAAUUAUUGGGCGUAAAGCGCGCGCAGGUGGUCCUUUAAGUCUGAUGUGAAAGCCCACGGCUCAACCGUGGAGGGUCAUUGGAAACUGGGGGACUUGAGUGCAGAAGAGGAUAGUGGAAUUCCAAGUGUAGCGGUGAAAUGCGUAGAGAUUUGGAGGAACACCAGUGGCGAAGGCGGCUUUCUGGUCUGUAACUGACGCUGAGGCGCGAAAGCGUGGGGAGCGAACAGG
This 253-nucleotide ribosomal RNA is filed under the name uncultured bacterium. Its description in RNAcentral is "partial 16S ribosomal RNA". It matches the Rfam family "Bacterial small subunit ribosomal RNA", at positions 524 to 776 of the family's 1533-position model. The record is from RNAcentral.